This is a small nuclear RNA of Balaenoptera ricei (Rice's whale), 103 nucleotides long. Lineage: Eukaryota; Metazoa; Chordata; Mammalia; Artiodactyla; Balaenopteridae. The record is from RefSeq and is a predicted model, not a curated record.
UUGCUUUGGCAGCACAUAUACUAAAAUCGGACUGAUACAGAGAAGACUAGCAUGGCCCCUGCACAAGGCUGACAUGCAAAUUCGUGAAGUCUUCCAUAUUUUU